Molecule: ribosomal RNA, 108 nt
Filed under: Treponema sp.
Lineage: Bacteria; Pseudomonadati; Spirochaetota; Spirochaetia; Treponematales; Treponemataceae
Source: RNAcentral
CUGGCGGCCAUGGCGGAGGAGACACACCCGUUCCCUUCCCGAACACGGAAGUUAAGCCCUCCCGCGCCGAUGAUACUGCCUACGCGGGAAAGCAGGCCGCCGCCAGAC